UACGAAGGGGGCUAGCGUUGCUCGGAAUCACUGGGCGUAAAGGAUGCGUAGGCGGGUCUUUAAGUCAGGGGGGAAAUCCUGGAGCUCAACUCCAGAACUGCCUUUGAUACUGAGGAUCUUGAGUUCGGGAGAGGUGAGUGGAACUGCGAGUGUAGAGGUGAAAUUCGUAGAUAUUCGCAAGAACACCAGUGGCGAAGGCGGCUCACUGGCCCGAUACUGACGCUGAGGCACGAAAGCGUGGGGAGCAAACAGG
This 253-nucleotide ribosomal RNA is filed under the name uncultured bacterium. RNAcentral's name for it is "partial 16S ribosomal RNA". It matches the Rfam family "Bacterial small subunit ribosomal RNA", at positions 524 to 776 of the family's 1533-position model. The record is from RNAcentral.